CUCACCUCCACCACAACUUAUUUCCACCCACCUCAUUGCUCUCUUCCUUAUAAUUCAUCUAACUAUAACAUCAUGCUUACAAUAACCAAUGUUGAACAAAAAAAAGGAAGAAGAAGGAAAAUACUAAGAAGGGAGGAGCUAAAAAAUUACCGACGAAGACACUUUGUUUUAUGUACCAUAACCACCGCUUAAUAUCGCCGGUAACACAACUCAACUGAAAAAAUAACACACAAAUCACCUCCGACAAGUGCAGCCACCAACGCACGUCACUACCCUUGCCGACAUCUCCGCCUUCUUCCGUCGGAGCUGCUUCACAACUCUAUCUGACCGUCGUCACCAUUGAAAGUAAUUUCUCCAUCAACUUUUGAGUUUUACUCAAUCUUGAAGUGUUUUGCGUGUCUGUGUAAUUAAGCUUGAAUUUGAAAGAAAAUUUUAAGAUACAAAGUGAAAUAUGCUUUUGUGGUUUAAGUUGAGGUUGUUCUUUUAUUAAAAACUUUAGAAGGAAAUGUUGUGUGUGAAGAAUGGGAUAAAGCUGAGUUUUGUUUUCAUAUCUUUUAAUUUUAUUUCUCUGUUACUUCAUUCAUUUGUUCCAUGUUUGAUAUACAUGUAUAUAUAUUUUACUUUGUCUUGACCUUUUUUUAAUAUACA
This 648-nucleotide long non-coding RNA is filed under the name Lathyrus oleraceus (garden pea). RNAcentral's name for it is "Pisum sativum (pea) long non-coding RNA (PSAT_LNC025967)". Lineage: Eukaryota; Viridiplantae; Streptophyta; Magnoliopsida; Fabales; Fabaceae. The record is from RNAcentral.